UACAGAGGUCCCAAGCGUUGUUCGGAUUCACUGGGCGUAAAGGGUGCGUAGGCGGCCCGAGAGGUCCUGGGUGAAAGGCCCCGGCUCAACCGGGGAGGGCCCCAGGAAACCGGCGGGCUAGAGGGCUGGAGAGGGCCGCGGAAUUCCCGGUGUAGCGGUGAAAUGCGUAGAUAUCGGGAAGAACACCAGUGGCGAAGGCGGCGGCCUGGACAGAACCUGACGCUGAGGCACGAAAGCUGGGGGAGCGAACAGG
This 253-nucleotide ribosomal RNA is filed under the name uncultured bacterium. Its description in RNAcentral is "partial 16S ribosomal RNA". It matches the Rfam family "Bacterial small subunit ribosomal RNA", at positions 524 to 776 of the family's 1533-position model. The record is from RNAcentral.